Equus caballus (horse) is the source of this 1187-nucleotide non-coding RNA. The record is from RefSeq and is a predicted model, not a curated record. NCBI's taxonomy places the organism in Eukaryota, Metazoa, Chordata, Mammalia, Perissodactyla, Equidae.
UUUAACAAUUUAUAACUUCUAUUUGGCUCUACAGCUCAGGGAGUCAGAGGUUAAAGAAACAAACAUUUACAUAUGAGUGUCACUAAAGAACCAGGGACCUGGGAAUGUGUGCCUUUAGUUUUAACCCAUAUAUACUGGGCUCACUGUAGGGGAACCAAUAUCAGGGCUGAUAAUAACUAAAAGCGGGGAACAGUCUCUCUGCUUCCCUCUACCGCCCCCCGUCUGGACUUUACAGAGCAGCCAGAAUAGGCUUUUCAAAACAUAAACCGAAUCAUGUCACUUCCUGGUUAAAACCCUCCAACAGCUUCUCAUCCAACUCAGAAGAAAAUCCAUGGUCUUCAUCCCAGCCCACAGGCUCUACCUGACCUGGCCCCAGGCCGGCCCUCCAGUCUCCUCUCUCUCUAUCCCUCCCAGUCACACUGGCCGCGAGUUGCUCAAACACACCACAAUCUACCCUACCGCAGGCUCGCACAAAUCAUUCCUGCAUGGAGUAGUUUCUGCUCAUACUUUAAGUCCACUUAGAAAUUACCACAUCUGAGAAGCCUUCCACCACUCCCAUCUAACCUUCAUUUCUUUCAAAGCACUUAGCACAACUUGUCGUUACCUUAUUGAAUGGUCUGUUUGCUUGUUCUGUGUCUGUCUCUCUGACAAGUCAUGAAGGGAGAGACCAUGGCUCACUGAUGCAUUCCUGGUGCCUGGUACAUGGCAAAGCUAGUUCCCCCACACGUACAACCCAAGCUGGCUGAAUCCAUAGGCAUAUGCUACCAGAGUGACACCUACAGCUGUAUAUGGAGCCACUGCACUUCCAGCAUCAGCAAUGUGUAGCCAGUGGAUGGCAAAGUAGCAGAAUGCUCAGAGGGAAAGCAGCAAAAACAAAGUGCGCCCCAGCCACUUGCCGCCCUGAGACUGAAUGAAAAGCUCCUGUUGGCAUAGACAUACUCAACUUUGACUUACAACGCAGAGCCCACAGCUUUAACACUGGACAUUGACAUCUGUGGGCCAGUUGGGUGGAAAGGAACAGGGCCAAAACAGAGACAGCUACAAACAUGUCUUAAAGUAAAUGUUUAGCCUUCUGAAACCUCUUAUGCUUUUGUGACAAGGUGUAUUCACAUGUGUAGUUGUAGUAAAAAGUGUCAAGAUAGCUCUAUCCUCCCACUGAAAAUAAAAACUUCGGAAAGACAUUAAAA